This 601-nucleotide unclassified non-coding RNA is filed under the name Dendronephthya gigantea. RNAcentral's name for it is "interferon-induced very large GTPase 1-like, transcript variant X4". The record is from RNAcentral. Lineage: Eukaryota; Metazoa; Cnidaria; Anthozoa; Malacalcyonacea; Nephtheidae.
UUCAGAUUUGGCUUCCACUACCACUACCGCUACCUCUCGCUAAUCUAUUAGAUCGGACAGAGCGAGGACGCUAAACAAACUGCAGUAAUUUAUUCUAUUCAAGUUGGUGUGCGCUAACUAAAAGAACAGAGAACCAACAGUGGCGAGGCGCUACGUGUUAAAGGUUUAGAAGAUCAGUAGCUCACGAAAGACAAGAAACUGAUAUCUGACUAGAGGUACAAAUCGUAAAUAUUAUUGGUGAAAAGCGGCUGCCGAAAACAAAAACAGAAGUGGAUCUGACCCAAAGAAUCUGAAAAAAACAACUGCUACGGCUGAGAUCACGAACACACACAUUGCAUACACAUUCAAGCGAUAAAAAGCAAUGUUACAUCUCCAGGGUAGUGUUGGUGUAAGACCUAAUUCAAAAUAUUCUUUAAAACAGGCUAGGUCAGUCGAUAAAUAUACACUAAACGAUGAUCGAUUAACCCAUCCAGAUGAGAUACCUCAUUAUAUUUUUAAUAAACUGAUGAUAGUUGAUUACCGUGUCCGUGAAUUUAAAUUAAAUAACGAAGCUAGAAAUACUUACGACUCCGUUGAGAGCAAGGAUGAAGAUAAUGAGAGG